ACCAAGGCAGUGACGGGUAGCUGGUCUGAGAGGAUGGCCAGCCACAUUGGGACUGAGAGACGGCCCAGACUCCUACGGGAGGCAGCAGUGGGGAAUCUUGCGCAAUGGCCGCAAGGCUGACGCAGCGACGCCGCGUGGGGGAGGAAGGGCUUCGGCUCGUAAACCCCUGUUGCCCGGGGCGAACCUCUGGUUUCGACCAGACUGACGGUACCGGGUGAGGAAGCACCGGCUAACUCCGUGCCAGCAGCCGCGGUAAUACGGAGGGUGCGAGCGUUGUCCGGAAUCACUGGGCGUAAAGGGCGCGUAGGCGGCAUGCCAAGCGUGUGGUGAAAGCCCGGGGCUCAACCCCGGGUCGGCCGUGCGGACUGGCAUGCUCGAGCACUGUAGGGGCGGGUGGAAUUCCGGGUGUAGCGGUGGAAUGCGUAGAGAUCCGGAAGAACACCGGUGGCGAAGGCGGCCCGCUGGGCAGGAAGACGGAGCAAUCCGUCGGCUGACGCUGAGGCGCGACAGCGUGGGGAGCAAACAGGAUUAGAUACCCUGGUAGUCCACGCCGUAAACGAUGGGCACUAGG
This 571-nucleotide ribosomal RNA is filed under the name uncultured bacterium. RNAcentral's name for it is "bacterial SSU rRNA". It matches the Rfam family "Bacterial small subunit ribosomal RNA", at positions 267 to 820 of the family's 1533-position model. The record is from RNAcentral.